GGUAAAUCUGUGUCAANCCGGCCGCGGUAAUACCAGCUCUCCGAGUGGUAGGGGUGAUUAUUGGGCUUAAAGCGUCCGUAGCCGGCUUGGCAAGGUCUUCCGUUAAAUCCAGCAACCUAAUUGUUUGGGCUGCGGGGGAUACUGUUAGGCUAGGGGGCGGGAGAGGCCGACGGUAUUCUCGGGGUAGGGGUGAAAUCUUAUAAUCCCGGGAGGACCACCAGUGGCGAAGGCUGUCGGCUAGCACGCGCCUGACGGUGAGGGACNAAAGCUGGGGGAGCGAACCGGAUUAGAUACCCGGGUAGUCCCUGCUGUAAACGAUGCGAGCUAGGUGUUGGGGGCGGCUACGAGCCGCUUCAGUGCCGCAGCGAAGGCGUUAAGCUCGCCGCCUGGGGAGUACGGCCGCAAGGCUGAAACUUAAAGGAAUUGGCGGGGGGAGCACCACAAGGCGUGAAGCUUGCGGUUCAAUUGGAGUCAACGCCGGGGAACCUUACCGGGGGGCGACAGCAGGAUGAAGGCCAGGUUGAUGGCCUUGCUGGACGAGCUGAGAGGAGGCGCAUGGCCGUCGUCAGUUCGUGCCGUGAGGUGUCCUCUUAAGUGAGGUAACGAUCGAGACCCGCGCCCCUUGUUGCUAGCAGAUUCCAUCGGAAUCUGUGCACACUAGGGGGACCGCCGUCGAUAAGACGGAGGAAGGAGCGGGCCACGGUAGGUCAGUACGCCCCGAAUCUUCCGGGCUACACGCGUGCUACAAUGGGCAGUACAAUGGGUAUCAACCCCGAAAGGGGAAGGUAAUCUCCUAAAACUGUCCUCAGUUGGGAUCGAGGGCUGCAACUCGCCCUCGUGAACCAGGAAUCCGUAGUAAUCGCCUCUCAAAAUGAGGCGGUGAAUAUGUCCCUGCUCC
RNAcentral lists this ribosomal RNA (898 nucleotides) under uncultured archaeon. Its description in RNAcentral is "bacterial SSU rRNA". It matches the Rfam family "Archaeal small subunit ribosomal RNA", at positions 445 to 1336 of the family's 1478-position model. The record is from RNAcentral.